Molecule: long non-coding RNA, 642 nt
Organism: Poeciliopsis prolifica (blackstripe livebearer)
Lineage: Eukaryota; Metazoa; Chordata; Actinopteri; Cyprinodontiformes; Poeciliidae
Exons: 2
Source: RefSeq, a predicted model, not a curated record
AAGUAUCUUACCUCGGGAUAAAGGGAGGAAAGAGGGGUUUGUGGCCAGAUUGACAGAGGAAGGGUGAACGGAUAGAGCCGAGCAGAGCGCUCGCUGCUCUGGAGCGAAGAGCUGGACUUUUAGUUCGGUGGCUGGAUUGAUCAGAACUGAGAAGGUUUCAGUGAAGACAGUGAGGAUAAAGAGUUCAGCAUGGCAAUAACUUCAACAUCAACCUCAUCUUCAGCUAAUAGUAGGAAAACCAAAGGUGUAAGAUCACUGUAUUGUUUUAUUUGAAACUGUGUAGUCAAGUUGGACUCAUGGAAUUAAAGCAGGAAAUUUUCAUAUGACAGACGUUUUAUUUUUCCAGAUUUAUUUAUUUUUUUACAUAAAUUAUCAAAAAAGUAAGGCAGGACACUAAAUCCAAUUAGGAAGUUUCGCAUAUUCAGUGAGACCAGCAGGUCUUCUGGCUGCUGUCUGAUGCUCAUAGGAGCAGAGCUCUCAUAUUAUGUCCCACCUGUGUUUGCAAACAAAAUCAUGAUCCACUCUUGGAAUACACCAAGAGUUUUUAAAUCCUGUUAUUUAAAGGUUGUGUAAAACUAAACAUGUAUGACACCAGUCAAAGUUGUUGACAUGUAUCUUUAGCUAAAUAAAAGCUUUCCAACA